AUUGAACGCUGGCGGCAGGCCUAACACAUGCAAGUCGAACGGUAACAGGGAGAAGCUUGCUUCUUUGCUGACGAGUGGCGGACGGGUGAGUAAUGUCUGGGAAACUGCCUGAUGGAGGGGGAUAACUACUGGAAACGGUAGCUAAUACCGCAUAACGUCGCAAGACCAAAGAGGGGGACCUUCGGGCCUCUUGCCUUCGGAUGUGCCCAGAUGGGAUUAGCUAGUAGGUGUGGUAACGGCUCACCUAGGCGACGAUCCCUAGCUGGUCUGAGAGGAUGACCAGCCACACUGGAACUGAGACACGGUCCAGACUCCUACGGGAGGCAGCAGUGGGGAAUAUUGCACAAUGGGCGCAAGCCUGAUGCAGCCAUGCCGCGUGUAUGAAGAAGGCCUUCGGGUUGUAAAGUACUUUCAGCGGGGAGGAAGGGAGUAAAGUUAAUACCUUUGCUCAUUGACGUUACCCGCAGAAGAAGCACCGGCUAACUCCGUG
This 490-nucleotide ribosomal RNA is filed under the name uncultured bacterium. RNAcentral's name for it is "partial 16S ribosomal RNA". It matches the Rfam family "Bacterial small subunit ribosomal RNA", at positions 30 to 507 of the family's 1533-position model. The record is from RNAcentral.